Molecule: long non-coding RNA, 549 nt
Organism: Amphiprion ocellaris (clown anemonefish)
Lineage: Eukaryota; Metazoa; Chordata; Actinopteri; Pomacentridae
Source: Ensembl
GGAAACGCUGCCGUUUAAAGAGACAGAGGAGGAAUUUCGGGCGAAAGGCUGAGACAACGAAAACAGCUGCGAGCACACCAAAAAAAAAAAGGACAGGCACAGAGAGAGAGGAAGGGGACGUAGCUUAGUCAGUCGACAAGCGAGCUAUGUGGCAGGACAGAGUGGGAGGACGAGACUGAAAUUGACCGAGUGUUUCAUCAGAUACACGGCUAGCUGUACGUGGCUAACGAGUUUUAGCUUCGAAUUUUGGCGUUUUUCACGGUAGCUACCUGGAAACCGACAAAGCAUCACUGAACACGGCAGGGAGAUAAAAGGCCAAACUCCCAGACGACAGAGACGCGUCACUUCAGACUCCUUGAGUCCACCUUUUGUUUUUAAUAAGCCACCCCCCAUCUCUCUGUCUGGGAGAAAGCAGUGGGCUUUGUCCUCAGCUGAGUGUGACGUCAUGCAGAUCUUUGCUGUAACCAACCCUGAAGGAGAGACACACUGCACAAUGUUGGGAUCAAGGCUCUGUGAAGGCCAUGCCAUCUGGUGCAGAACCAUUUGUUU